This 379-nucleotide ribosomal RNA is filed under the name uncultured eukaryote. Its description in RNAcentral is "partial 18S ribosomal RNA". It matches the Rfam family "Eukaryotic small subunit ribosomal RNA", at positions 592 to 975 of the family's 1831-position model. The record is from RNAcentral.
CAAUAGCGUAUAUUAAAGUUGUUGCGGUUAAAAAGCUCGUAGUUGGAUUUCUGCUGAGAACGACCGGUCCGCCCUUUGGGUGUGUAUCUGGCUCUUUCUUGGCAUCUUCUUGGUGAACGUUGCUGCACUUGACUGUGUGGAGCGCUACCCAGGACUUUUACUUUGAGGAAAUUAGAGUGUUUCAAGCAGGCAUACGCCUUGAAUACAUUAGCAUGGAAUAAUAAGAUAGGACCUCGGUUCUAUUUUGUUGGUUUCUAGAGCUGAGGUAAUGAUUAAUAGGGAUAGUUGGGGGCAUUCGUAUUUAACUGUCAGAGGUGAAAUUCUUAGAUUUGUUAAAGACGGACUACUGCGAAAGCAUUUGCCAAGGAUGUUUUCAUUG